Vombatus ursinus (common wombat) is the source of this 381-nucleotide long non-coding RNA. RefSeq lists it as uncharacterized. The record is from RefSeq and is a predicted model, not a curated record. NCBI's taxonomy places the organism in Eukaryota, Metazoa, Chordata, Mammalia, Diprotodontia, Vombatidae. The transcript is spliced from 3 exons.
GAAGUGCACUAAGAACUGAGGGAAUCAGAAAAGGUCUCUUGUAAGACAGAUGGGACACCUGAACUGAGCUUUGAAGGGAACUAGGUAUUCCAAGCAGUGGUGGCUAAGAGGAAAAGCAUUCCAGGUGUGGAGGAUGUGCAAAGGUACCCUUCAAGAUCCAACUUAGACUCUGUGUAUUCAAUGGAGCCUUUCCUAAGAGCCUUUCUUUCUCUAAGGAAUUCUUCCUGAAGAGAAUCUGGAACCACAUGCCUUCUCUCUUGAAGCUGGAAGUCAAAAGACCAAGAUCUCUCCAGUAGCCCUUGCCAACUUCACCCCUCAUGCUAGUACUGAGCACUAAGCAAUCAAUCUCCACUAAUGAGAAGAAUUUUAUGCAACUGGGCU